GCCUGGCUGGCUCAGUUCAUAGAGCGUGUGACUCUUGAUCUCAGGGUUGUGAGUUCAAGCCCCAUGUUGGGCG
This 73-nucleotide transfer RNA is filed under the name Ailuropoda melanoleuca (giant panda). It matches the Rfam family "tRNA". Rfam says of the family: Transfer RNA (tRNA) molecules are approximately 80 nucleotides in length. Their secondary structure includes four short double-helical elements and three loops (D, anti-codon, and T loops). Further hydrogen bonds mediate the characteristic L-shaped molecular structure. tRNAs have two regions of fundamental functional importance: the anti-codon, which is responsible for specific mRNA codon recognition, and the 3' end, to which the tRNAs corresponding amino acid is attached (by aminoacyl-tRNA synthetases). tRNAs cope with the degeneracy of the genetic code in two manners: having more than one tRNA (with a specific anti-codon) for a particular amino acid; and 'wobble' base-pairing, i.e. permitting non-standard base-pairing at the 3rd anti-codon position. The record is from Rfam by way of RNAcentral. Lineage: Eukaryota; Metazoa; Chordata; Mammalia; Carnivora; Ursidae.